Long non-coding RNA from Protobothrops mucrosquamatus (brown spotted pit viper), 285 nucleotides. RefSeq lists it as uncharacterized. NCBI's taxonomy places the organism in Eukaryota, Metazoa, Chordata, Lepidosauria, Squamata, Viperidae. The transcript is spliced from 3 exons. The record is from RefSeq and is a predicted model, not a curated record.
GGUAUGCUAUACCUCCAGAGCAUGGCAAGAGGCUGGAAAGACUGGCCAAAGGAUUUUUCCCUGGGAGUUCUCAAGGGUGUGAUGCCUUCCUGCGACACAAGAUGACCCUCAUUUCACCUUCCAUCUUGAAAAAAUACAGCAUCCCUUUUGACCGGAUCACCCAGGAAGCUGGAGAAUUCAUGAUUACUUUCCCUUACGGCUACCAUGCGGGCUUCAACCAUGGAUUCAACUGCGCCGAGUCCACCAAUUUUGCCACCCUGCGAUGGAUCGAUUACGGCAAGAUGG